Molecule: ribosomal RNA, 468 nt
Filed under: uncultured bacterium
Lineage: Bacteria
Description: partial 16S ribosomal RNA
Rfam family: Bacterial small subunit ribosomal RNA
Source: RNAcentral
GACGAACGCUGGCGGCGUGCUUAACACAUGCAAGUCGAACGGAAAGGCCCUGCUUUUGUGGGGUGCUCGAGUGGCGAACGGGUGAGUAACACGUGAGUAACCUGCCCUUGACUUUGGGAUAACUUCAGGAAACUGGGGCUAAUACCGGAUAGGAGCUCCUGCUGCAUGGUGGGGGUUGGAAAGUUUCGGCGGUUGGGGAUGGACUCGCGGCUUAUCAGCUUGUUGGUGGGGUAGUGGCUUACCAAGGCUUUGACGGGUAGCCGGCCUGAGAGGGUGACCGGCCACAUUGGGACUGAGAUACGGCCCAGACUCCUACGGGAGGCAGCAGUGGGGAAUAUUGCACAAUGGGUGGAAGCCUGAUGCAGCAACGCCGCGUGCGGGAUGACGGCCUUCGGGUUGUAAACCGCUUUCGCCUGUGGCGAAGCGUGAGUGACGGUAAUGGGUAAAGAAGCACCGGCUAACUACGUG